RNAcentral lists this ribosomal RNA (695 nucleotides) under uncultured bacterium. Its description in RNAcentral is "bacterial SSU rRNA". It matches the Rfam family "Bacterial small subunit ribosomal RNA", at positions 32 to 715 of the family's 1533-position model. The record is from RNAcentral.
AACGCUAGCUACAGGCUUAACACAUGCAAGUCGAGGGGCAGCAUUAUCGAAGCUUGCUUUGAUAGAUGGCGACCGGCGCACGGGUGAGUAACGCGUAUCCAACCUUCCCCAUAGUCAGGAAUAGCCCGGCGAAAGUCGAAUUAAUGCCUGAUGUUUUCCACGGACGGCAUCUGAUGUGGAACAAAGAUUGAUCGCUAUGGGAUGGGGAUGCGUCUGAUUAGCUUGUUGGCGGGGUAACGGCCCACCAAGGCAACGAUCAGUAGGGGUUCUGAGAGGAAGGUCCCCCACAUUGGAACUGAGACACGGUCCAAACUCCUACGGGAGGCAGCAGUGAGGAAUAUUGGUCAAUGGGCGGAAGCCUGAACCAGCCAAGUAGCGUGAGGGAUGGCUGCCCUAUGGGUUGUAAACCUCUUUUAUAAGGGAAUAAAAUACGGGACGUGUCCUGUUUUGCAUGUACCUUAUGAAUAAGGACCGGCUAAUUCCGUGCCAGCAGCCGCGGUAAUACGGAAGGUCCGGGCGUUAUCCGGAUUUAUUGGGUUUAAAGGGAGCGCAGGCGGUCUUAUAAGCGUGACGUGAAAUGCAGCGGCUCAACCGUAUGAUGUGCGUCGCGAACUGUGAGACUUGAGUGUAUUCGAUGUCAGCGGAAUUUGUGGUGUAGCGGUGAAAUGCUUAGAUAUCACGAAGAACUCCGAUUG